RNAcentral lists this ribosomal RNA (254 nucleotides) under uncultured bacterium. RNAcentral's name for it is "partial 16S ribosomal RNA". It matches the Rfam family "Bacterial small subunit ribosomal RNA", at positions 524 to 776 of the family's 1533-position model. The record is from RNAcentral.
UACGGAGGGUGCAAGCGUUAUCCGGAAUCACUGGGUUUAAAGGGUGCGUAGGCGGCUAUGUAAGUCAGUUGUGAAAUACCUCGGCUUAACCGAAGGAAGUGCGAUUGAUACUGCGUAGCUUGAAUCAGGUUGAGGUAGGCGGAAUGUGACAUGUAGCGGUGAAAUGCUUAGAUAUGUCAUAGAACACCGAUUGCGAAGGCGGCUUACUGGGCUUUGAUUGACGCUGAGGCACGAAAGCGUGGGGAGCAAACAGG